This 440-nucleotide ribosomal RNA is filed under the name uncultured bacterium. RNAcentral's name for it is "bacterial SSU rRNA". It matches the Rfam family "Bacterial small subunit ribosomal RNA", at positions 467 to 906 of the family's 1533-position model. The record is from RNAcentral.
AAAUGACGGUACCUGACUAAGAAGCCCCGCCUAAAUACGUGCCAGCAGCCGCGGUAAUACGUAGGGGGCAAGCGUUAUCCGGAUUUACUGGGUGUAAAGGGAGCGCAGGCGGCAUGAUAAGUCUGAUGUGAAAGCCCGGGGCUCAACCCCGGUACUGCAUUGGAAACUGUCGUACUAGAGUGUCGGAGGGGUAAGCGGAAUUCCUAGUGUAGCGGUGAAAUGCGUAGAUAUUAGGAGGAACACCAGUGGCGAAGGCGGCUUACUGGACGAUAACUGACGCUGAGGCUCGAAAGCGUGGGGAGCAAACAGGAUUAGAUACCCUGGCAGUCCACGCCGUAAACGAUGAAUACUAGGUGUUGGGAAGCAUUGCUUCUCGGUGCCGUCGCAAACGCAGUAAGUAUUCCACCUGGGGAGUACGUUCGCAAGAAUGAAACUCAAAG